CUUUUCUCAACUGUUUUGCUUAAUAUAACAUUUCUUAAGAUAGGCUUUAUUGUGGUUCAAUGGGAAAACGAGAACAGCGUGAGCGAUGUAAAUGAAAAGAAAGUCGUUGGCGCCGUGGAGUCAAAAGAAGGGACAACAGUUGACAUAUUGACUGGUACAAACAAGGGUCGAGUGGCCAUUUAUAGAGCUACGAGUUUGAAAGUUUGAGAUGUCAUUGAAUCCAGAUACAAAAUGGUCAAGCUUCUUGUAGACAAUCUUCACGGCCAACAGGGAAAGCUGUGAGCUCAGGAAAAAAAGUUUUCUCACCAAUAUCAGCAUGGUCAAACUGCGCCCAUAUGAUGCCUGAUGGUUUACCAGCUCGCUACUCUGAAACCCAGCUCCAAAAACAUUGUAAUGUGCUUUGAUGGAAUACUAUGGUCUAGAUAAGACACGAUGAACUUUGUCAUAGAAUUCAUUUACUUUGGCAUUUUGAAUGAAGAAAUGAGGAGCAUCCAGUGGAUAAUUGU
Pocillopora verrucosa is the source of this 506-nucleotide non-coding RNA. NCBI's taxonomy places the organism in Eukaryota, Metazoa, Cnidaria, Anthozoa, Scleractinia, Pocilloporidae. The record is from RefSeq and is a predicted model, not a curated record.